Microplitis demolitor is the source of this 560-nucleotide long non-coding RNA. RefSeq lists it as uncharacterized. The record is from RefSeq and is a predicted model, not a curated record. The transcript is spliced from 3 exons. NCBI's taxonomy places the organism in Eukaryota, Metazoa, Arthropoda, Insecta, Hymenoptera, Braconidae.
UCAGGGUUGCUUGAGCAAAAAUUUACUGUACAAAAGAUUCGUUGAAUUUUUCUUCAAAUUUCCAUCAACUUCAGAAUUUUCAAUUUUUCACGACAAGUUGUAUGCAACUUGCUAUUGAAUUUGAGCACAAUUACAAAAUAUUAUUAGAGAUAUGGAGAUCCAGUGGGGACGGUUAGAUGCCGGAAUUGAUAUCAAUCGUCAACGUCGAUCAGUUCAGCGUCAUCAUGACAUCCGCAUUCAGCAUCUUCAAGCAUCUUUAAGAUCUGGAAGGUUAAACAACUCAGCCAAUUGAUGAGCGAUUAAUGAAAUAAAAUUAAUAUUAACUAAAAAUGAUAAUAUACUCUAUUCUACGUUACAAGAAUUCCUACACGCUACAGUGAAUCGGGAUCUUCAUGAUUCAAUAUUUUUAAUUUUAAAUGAUAAUCAACGUGAACAGCUACCAAAUAUUGGCAAUAUUGAACAUUUAAACCUCAUUUUGCAGGAUCCUUAAGAAUCUCUCUAUUAUGUGUUAUUUUGUAUUCCAUUUGAUAUUUAUUUUUAUUUAAUAAUAAAUUUUAACA